GUAAGAAAUAAAGGGUGACAUUCUUAUCCACUAGAACAUUUUUCUUGUAACCUUGUUCCAUAUGAUACGUUUCCUUGAACUUUUUUCGUCAUGCUUUUGGUGCUUCCAUGAAGUCAUCACUUGGUAGAUUCUCUGAUUCCGUGCACCUUUUCAUUGACAUGGCUCCUGUCAUGAUAGAUUUUCUAUAUAUUGAUGACAUAAAGACCUCAAAUGAUUGUUUUGGAGA
This 226-nucleotide long non-coding RNA is filed under the name Elaeis guineensis (African oil palm). RNAcentral describes it as "long non-coding RNA (EGUI_LNC082153)". The record is from RNAcentral. Lineage: Eukaryota; Viridiplantae; Streptophyta; Magnoliopsida; Arecales; Arecaceae.